CCUACGGGAGGCAGCAGUGGGGAAUAUUGCACAAUGGGCGAAACCCUGAUCCAGCGACGUCGCGUGCGUGAAGAAGUACCUCGGUAUGUUAAGCUCUAUUUGUAGGGAAGUAGAAUGCCGGUACUUGACUAAGUAGCCCCUGCUAACUACGUGCCAGCAGCCGCGGUACUACGCAGGGGGCGAGGGAUAUCCGGAUUUACUGGGUGUAAAGGGAGCGUAGACGGCUGGUCAAGUCUGAAGUGAAAGGCCAGGGCCCAACCCUGGGACUGCGGUGGAAACUGUGUAGCUAGAGUGCUGGUGAGGUAAGUGGAAUUCGUGGUGUAGCGGUGAAAUGCGUAGAUAUUAGGAAGAACACCGAUGGCGAAGGCAGCUUACUGGACAGUAACUGACGUUGAGGCUCGAAGGCGUGGGGAGCGAACAGGAUUAGAUACCCCUGUAGUC
This 441-nucleotide ribosomal RNA is filed under the name uncultured bacterium. RNAcentral's name for it is "partial 16S ribosomal RNA". It matches the Rfam family "Bacterial small subunit ribosomal RNA", at positions 338 to 795 of the family's 1533-position model. The record is from RNAcentral.